This 83-nucleotide non-coding RNA is filed under the name bovine gut metagenome. RNAcentral's name for it is "TPP riboswitch (THI element)". It matches the Rfam family "TPP riboswitch aptamer (THI element)", at positions 8 to 91 of the family's 105-position model. From Rfam's summary of the family: Vitamin B(1) in its active form thiamin pyrophosphate (TPP) is an essential coenzyme that is synthesised by coupling of pyrimidine and thiazole moieties in bacteria. The previously detected thiamin-regulatory element, thi box was extended, resulting in a new, highly conserved RNA secondary structure, the THI element, which is widely distributed in eubacteria and also occurs in some archaea. The record is from RNAcentral.
UUGCGGGGGUACUCCAAACAGUCAGGAGUUGAGAUUAUACCCAUUGAACCUGAUGCGGGUAAUGCCGCCGAAGGGAAGCAUAA